AGAGUUUGAUCCUGGCUCAGGACGAACGCUGGCGGCGUGCCUAAUACAUGCAAGUGGAGCGACGAACCAGGCUUGCCCUGGGGCAAAGCCGCGAACGGGUGAGUAACACGUGGGUUACCUGCCUCGAUGACCGGGACAACCCGAGGAAACUCGGGCUAAUACCGGAUGUGCCCGCAAGGGGAAAGGAAGCUUAGGCCUCC
Molecule: ribosomal RNA, 200 nt
Filed under: uncultured bacterium
Lineage: Bacteria
Description: partial 16S ribosomal RNA
Rfam family: Bacterial small subunit ribosomal RNA
Source: RNAcentral